CACUAAAGACCUGUUUACCACAAUUCUUUUCACCUAGUGCAUCAUGUCCAGCUUUCAACAAAUAAUUACAAGGCAUACUGAAAGGCAAUAAACAGUUUGAAAAGACAGUGCAAGCAUCAGAACCAGACUCGGAGUCAUACUGUUAUCUUUGUGUUCAUGGUUGAGAUACAAGCUCUAGGGCCUUGCUGCUCAAAGUACGAGCCAUUGACCAGCAGCAUCCACAUCAUUGGGAGCUUGCUAGAAACACAGUCUUGCACCUCGCCCCAGACAUCCGGAAUCAGAAUCUGCAGAACAUGCGAACUUAACUGCAAUGAGAUCUGCAAGGGAAUGCACAUUAAAGUUGAUGAAUUCUGUUCUCAGGUGUUAACCUCCCUGCAUUUAGGGCUUAGCUGUCCAGCCCUUCAAGGCAGCUGCUGGAUAAGCCAGAGCCUCUGUGGGUGGACCUAGAGGGGCCACAAUGUCCAGCUCUUUGCCAGUUUUGCAAAGUUUUAUUGGAACAUAGCUGUGCCCGUUAAUUUACAUACUGUCCUCCUCAGUUUAUCCGUAAAACUUAGCCGAAAGGCUCGUUCUGUGUAUUAAAUCAGACAAUGAGUAAAAUGCACAGUGCCUGCCCACUGAUGAGCUCCAAAAACGGGAAGUGACGUUCUUGUGAAUUACACUCUCCUCACUUCGGCUGCUGCUACGAGCACAUCUGAACAGACCAUCCACCUGCCCCUGGCUACCUCCUCCUCUGGGCUCUGUGGAAUACCUGAGGUUCUCACUAUGAACUCAGUCCUUUCGGUUGAGACAUCUGGAUGUCAGGGCACUCACUGUGAAAAAGAAGUUGCCCGGAAGAGAAACCCCCUGAGCCUCUCCCAGCGGCUGGUGUAUCUGAUCAAGUGGGGAUAGCAGGCAAAUGUGAAUUGUGGAGCCAAGGGAAAGCCGAGACAACAGGGCAUUUCCUGGGCCGCCCAGACUGUGAAAAUGCAGGGUGGAAAACUGAGAGGGAGAGAAGAGGGUGGGGGUGCAAAAAUGGACUUCAUAUACUUCAAGGCCUGAUAAUUACCGGACAAGUAUCUCAACGUCCAUGCUCAGCUGACUAUGGCUCUGCAGUGUCAUCUUUCUAUUUCUCACAUCUACGGUACUUCGAGAUGUUUCCACUUCCCAAGUGUGUGUGCUUUACCUGUCUACUUUUUCGCAUAUUGUAGUUGCACUGUUUCACGAAAAAGUUUCCGUCAUCUGUUUUAUUUCUCAUACUAAUUUCAAGUUCUUUCUUACUUUUUCGACAGUUAAGAAAUUCAGCCUUAUAUCCAUCAUUCCACACGUUUGCUCUGAGGCCCAGCUGUAGCCAGUCUGGCCUAGGAAUCUUCAUUUGUAACAAUCUCCUCCCCAAGGGAGUAAUUCAUGCUUUAUUCUAUAUGCAUAAAAGUUUCAAAAUUAUAUCAGUACUAAUGAUAAUAAAUAUAGAGUGAAGUUUUUAAAAAAAGCUCUUCUAGGUCGAAGUAAUUUCCCCAUUUAAGAAAAAUAAAAGAGCCCUCUAGGUUAUGGCUCUCUUAACCA
RNAcentral lists this long non-coding RNA (1539 nucleotides) under Equus caballus (horse). RNAcentral's name for it is "lncRNA (ENSECAG00000035509.3)". Lineage: Eukaryota; Metazoa; Chordata; Mammalia; Perissodactyla; Equidae. The record is from RNAcentral.